UUAAGCGACUAAGCGUACACGGUGGAUGCCCUGGCAGUCAGAGGCGAUGAAGGGCGUGCUAAUCUGCGAUAAGCGCCGGUAAGGUGAUAUGAACCGUUAUAACCGGCGAUACCCGAAUGGGGAAACCCAGUGUGACUCGUCACACUAUCAUUAACUGAAUCCAUAGGUUAAUGAGGCGAACCGGGGGAACUGAAACAUCUAAGUACCCCGAGGAAAAGAAAUCAACCGAGAUUCCCCCAGUAGCGGCGAGCGAACGGGGAGGAGCCCAGAGCCUGAAUCAGCAUGUGUGUUAGUGGAAGCGUCUGGAAAGGCGCGCGAUACAGGGUGACAGCCCCGUACACAAAAGCGCAUGUGCUGUGAGCUCGAUGAGUAGGGCGGGACACGUGGUAUCCUGUCUGAAUAUGGGGGGACCAUCCUCCAAGGCUAAAUACUCCUGACUGACCGAUAGUGAACCAGUACCGUGAGGGAAAGGCGAAAAGAACCCCGGCGAGGGGAGUGAAAAAGAACCUGAAACCGUGUACGUACAAGCAGUGGGAGCCCCACCACCAAAGCAUUCUCUGGUGUUGAAGGCCCUGCAAAGCAGCAUCGCGGUGGCGGAGCGUCGUUUGCGACGCCCAACACACAAAACAAGCGGUGAGUGCUUUGGGGUGGGGUGACUGCGUACCUUUUGUAUAAUGGGUCAGCGACUUAUAUUCUGUAGCAAGGUUAACCGAAUAGGGGAGCCGGAGGGAAACCGAGUCUUAAUUGGGCGUUAAGUUGCAGGGUAUAGACCCGAAACCCGGUGAUCUAGCCAUGGGCAGGUUGAAGGUUGGGUAACACUAACUGGAGGACCGAACCGACUAAUGUUGAAAAAUUAGCGGAUGACCUGUGGCUGGGGGUGAAAGGCCAAUCAAACCGGGAGAUAGCUGGUUCUCCCCGAAAGCUAUUUAGGUAGCGCCUCGUGAACUCAUCUCCGGGGGUAGAGCACUGUUUCGGCUAGGGGGCCAUCCCGGCUUACCAACCCGAUGCAAACUGCGAAUACCGGAGAAUGUUAUCACGGGAGACACACGGCGGGUGCUAACGUCCGUCGUGAAGAGGGAAACAACCCAGACCGCCAGCUAAGGUCCCAAAGUCAUGGUUAAGUGGGAAACGAUGUGGGAAGGCCCAGACAGCCAGGAUGUUGGCUUAGAAGCAGCCAUCAUUUAAAGAAAGCGUAAUAGCUCACUGGUCGAGUCGGCCUGCGCGGAAGAUGUAACGGGGCUAAACCAUGCACCGAAGCUGCGGCAGCGAACGUAUCACCCAAGACAACUUUGCGGAGUUGACGAUUGACGGAGCGAAGCGACGUCAAAGCGUUCAUUAAAGUCGAGUUGGCUUAGGGAUACGUUCGUUGGGUAGGGGAGCGUUCUGUAAGCCAGUGAAGGUGUGUCGUGAGGCAUGCUGGAGGUAUCAGAAGUGCGAAUGCUGACAUAAGUAACGAUAAAGCGGGUGAAAAGCCCGCUCGCCGGAAGACCAAGGGUUCCUGUCCAACGUUAAUCGGGGCAGGGUGAGUCGACCCCUAAGGCGAGGCCGAAAGGCGUAGUCGAUGGGAAACGGGUUAAUAUUCCCGUACUUGGUGUUACUGCGAAGGGGGGACGGAGAAGGCUAUGUUGGCCGGGCGACGGUUGUCCCGGUUUAAGCGUGUAGGCUGGUUUUCCAGGCAAAUCCGGAAAAUCAAGGCUGAGGCGUGAUGACGAGGCACUACGGUGCUGAAGCAACAAAUGCCCUGCUUCCAGGAAAAGCCUCUAAGCAUCAGGUAACAUCAAAUCGUACCCCAAACCGACACAGGUGGUCAGGUAGAGAAUACCAAGGCGCUUGAGAGAACUCGGGUGAAGGAACUAGGCAAAAUGGUGCCGUAACUUCGGGAGAAGGCACGCUGACACGUAGGUGAAGUGAUUUACUCAUGGAGCUGAAGUCAGUCGAAGAUACCAGCUGGCUGCAACUGUUUAUUAAAAACACAGCACUGUGCAAACACGAAAGUGGACGUAUACGGUGUGACGCCUGCCCGGUGCCGGAAGGUUAAUUGAUGGGGUCAGCGCAAGCGAAGCUCCUGAUCGAAGCCCCGGUAAACGGCGGCCGUAACUAUAACGGUCCUAAGGUAGCGAAAUUCCUUGUCGGGUAAGUUCCGACCUGCACGAAUGGCGUAAUGAUGGCCAGGCUGUCUCCACCCGAGACUCAGUGAAAUUGAACUCGCUGUGAAGAUGCAGUGUACCCGUGGCAAGACGGAAAGACCCCGUGAACCUUUACUAUAGCUUGACACUGAACAUUGAGCCUUGAUGUGUAGGAUAGGUGGGAGGCUUUGAAGUGUGGACGCCAGUCUGCAUGGAGCCGACCUUGAAAUACCACCCUUUAAUGUUUGAUGUUCUAACGUGGACCCGUAAUCCGGGUUGCGGACAGUGUCUGGUGGGUAGUUUGACUGGGGCGGUCUCCUCCUAAAGAGUAACGGAGGAGCACGAAGGUUGGCUAAUCCUGGUCGGACAUCAGGAGGUUAGUGCAAUGGCAUAAGCCAGCUUGACUGCGAGCGUGACGGCGCGAGCAGGUGCGAAAGCAGGUCAUAGUGAUCCGGUGGUUCUGAAUGGAAGGGCCAUCGCUCAACGGAUAAAAGGUACUCCGGGGAUAACAGGCUGAUACCGCCCAAGAGUUCAUAUCGACGGCGGUGUUUGGCACCUCGAUGUCGGCUCAUCACAUCCUGGGGCUGAAGUAGGUCCCAAGGGUAUGGCUGUUCGCCAUUUAAAGUGGUACGCGAGCUGGGUUUAGAACGUCGUGAGACAGUUCGGUCCCUAUCUGCCGUGGGCGCUGGAGAACUGAGGGGGGCUGCUCCUAGUACGAGAGGACCGGAGUGGACGCAUCACUGGUGUUCGGGUUGUCAUGCCAAUGGCACUGCCCGGUAGCUAAAUGCGGAAGAGAUAAGUGCUGAAAGCAUCUAAGCACGAAACUUGCCCCGAGAUGAGUUCUCCCUGAGACUUAGAGUCUCCUGAAGGAACGUUGAAGACGACGACGUUGAUAGGCCGGGUGUGUAAGCGCAGCGAUGCGUUGAGCUAACCGGUACUAAUGAACCGUGAGGCUUAACCUU
This 3088-nucleotide ribosomal RNA is filed under the name Salmonella enterica subsp. enterica. Its description in RNAcentral is "23S ribosomal RNA". It matches the Rfam family "Bacterial large subunit ribosomal RNA". Lineage: Bacteria; Pseudomonadati; Pseudomonadota; Gammaproteobacteria; Enterobacterales; Enterobacteriaceae. The record is from RNAcentral.